RNAcentral lists this ribosomal RNA (257 nucleotides) under uncultured Acinetobacter sp. RNAcentral describes it as "partial 16S ribosomal RNA". It matches the Rfam family "Bacterial small subunit ribosomal RNA", at positions 1126 to 1382 of the family's 1533-position model. Lineage: Bacteria; Pseudomonadati; Pseudomonadota; Gammaproteobacteria; Moraxellales; Moraxellaceae. The record is from RNAcentral.
UUAAGCCGGGAACUUUAAGGAUACUGCCAGUGACAAACUGGAGGAAGGCGGGGACGACGUCAAGUCAUCAUGGCCCUUACGACCAGGGCUACACACGUGCUACAAUGGUCGGUACAAAGGGUUGCUACCUAGCGAUAGGAUGCUAAUCUCAAAAAGCCGAUCGUAGUCCGGAUUGGAGUCUGCAACUCGACUCCAUGAAGUCGGAAUCGCUAGUAAUCGCGGAUCAGAAUGCCGCGGUGAAUACGUUCCCGGGCCUU